AACAUGUUGGUAGAAAGUCAGGUUCAUUAAUCAUCAGGGAAGCAAGGAGAGCUGAGGCGAUGCCGUAUUGAAACCACUUUUACCUUUUACAGUGCAACAUCCAAAAGCGGAUCAAUUUUGUGGGACAUGGCACAAGGAAAUAAUUAUGGGCAAAGCAGCAAUGGGGUGGCUGAUGAAUCCCCAAACAUGCUGGUGUACAGAAAGGAAGAGGCCUAGUUUUCAAGAUUUUUAUAGUUCUACUAUUUCUACUCAAUUGAG
Molecule: long non-coding RNA, 258 nt
Filed under: Cyanistes caeruleus (blue tit)
Lineage: Eukaryota; Metazoa; Chordata; Aves; Passeriformes; Paridae
Description: lncRNA (ENSCCEG00000016153.1)
Source: RNAcentral